Molecule: ribosomal RNA, 309 nt
Filed under: uncultured bacterium
Lineage: Bacteria
Description: partial 16S ribosomal RNA
Rfam family: Bacterial small subunit ribosomal RNA
Source: RNAcentral
AGAGACAGAGUCGCCACGGGAAUACGUAGGUGGCAAGCGUUGUCCGGAAUUAUUGGGCGUAAAGCGCGCGCAGGUGGUUUAAUAAGUCUGAUGUGAAAGCCCACGGCUCAACCGUGGAGGGUCAUUGGAAACUGUUAAACUUGAGUGCAGGAGAGAAAAGUGGAAUUCCUAGUGUAGCGGUGAAAUGCGUAGAGAUUAGGAGGAACACCAGUGGCGAAGGCGGCUUUUUGGCCUGUAACUGACACUGAGGCGCGAAAGCGUGGGGAGCAAACAGGAUUAGAUACCCGCGUAGUCCCUGUCUCUUAUACA